RNAcentral lists this ribosomal RNA (460 nucleotides) under uncultured bacterium. Its description in RNAcentral is "partial 16S ribosomal RNA". It matches the Rfam family "Bacterial small subunit ribosomal RNA", at positions 338 to 795 of the family's 1533-position model. The record is from RNAcentral.
CCUACGGGGUGCAGCAGUGAGGAAUAUUGGUCAAUGGGCGGAAGCCUGAACCAGCCAAGUCGCGUGAGGGAAUAAGGCCCUACGGGUCGUAAACCUCUUUUGCCGGGGAGCAAGGGCGGGGACGUGUCCCUGCCCGGAGAGUACCCGGAGAAAAAGCUUCGGCUAACUCCGUGCCAGCAGCCGCGGUAAUACGGAGGAUGCGAGCGUUAUCGGGAUUUUUUGGGUUUAAAGGGUGCGUAGGCGGGCUUUUAAGUCAGCGGUAAAGAUUCGGGGCUCAACCCCGUCCGGCCGUUGAAACUGGGGGCCUUGAGUGGGCGAGAAGAAGGCGGAAUGCGUGGUGUAGCGGUGAAAUGCAUAGAUAUCACGCAGAACUCCGAUUGCGAAGGCAGCAUACCGGCGCCCAACUGACGCUGAAGCACGAAAGCGUGGGUAUCGAACAGGAUUAGAUACCCCAGUAGUC